RNAcentral lists this ribosomal RNA (233 nucleotides) under uncultured bacterium. Its description in RNAcentral is "partial 16S ribosomal RNA". It matches the Rfam family "Bacterial small subunit ribosomal RNA", at positions 15 to 238 of the family's 1533-position model. The record is from RNAcentral.
GAUCCUGGCUCAGGAUGAACGCUGGCGGCAUGCCUAAUACAUGCAAGUCGAACGAGAGGAAGGAGAGCUUGCUUUCCUGAAUCUAGUGGCGAACGGGUGAGUAACACGUAGGUAACCUGCCCAUGUGCCCGGGAUAACUUCUGGAAACGGAUGCUAAAACCGGAUAGGUAGCAGACAAGCAUUUGACUGCUAUUAAAGUGGCUAAGGCCAUGAACAUGGAUGGACCUGCGGUG